This 423-nucleotide ribosomal RNA is filed under the name uncultured bacterium. RNAcentral describes it as "bacterial SSU rRNA". It matches the Rfam family "Bacterial small subunit ribosomal RNA", at positions 207 to 622 of the family's 1533-position model. The record is from RNAcentral.
AAGACCUUGCGCUUUUGGAGCGGCCGAUGCCUGAUUAGCUUGUUGGUAAGGUAAAAGCUUACCAAGGCUUCGAUCAGUAGCUGGUCUGAGAGGACGGCCAGCCACACUGGGACUGAGACACGGCCCAGACUCCUACGGGAGGCAGCAGUGGGGAAUUUUGGACAAUGGGGGCAACCCUGAUCCAGCCAUGCCGCGUGAGUGAAGAAGGCCUUCGGGUUGUAAAGCUCUUUCAGCCGGAACGAAACGGUUACGGUUAAUACCCGUGAUUACUGACGGUACCGGAAGAAGAAGCACCGGCUAACUACGUGCCAGCAGCCGCGGUAAUACGUAGGGUGCGAGCGUUAAUCGGAAUUACUGGGCGUAAAGCGUGCGCAGGUGGUUUUGUAAGUCAGAUGUGAAAGCCCCGGGAUCAACCUGGGAACU